Molecule: ribosomal RNA, 352 nt
Filed under: uncultured bacterium
Lineage: Bacteria
Description: bacterial SSU rRNA
Rfam family: Bacterial small subunit ribosomal RNA
Source: RNAcentral
GGGCCCGCACAAGCGGUGGAGUAUGUGGUUUAAUUCGAUGCAACGCGAAGAACCUUACCAGGGUUUGACAUCCUGCGAAUCUCUUGGAAACUUGAGAGUGCCUUCGGGAGCGCAGUGACAGGUGGUGCAUGGCUGUCGUCAGCUCGUGUCGUGAGAUGUUGGGUUAAGUCCCGCAACGAGCGCAACCCACGUCUUUAGUUGCCAGCAUUUAGUUGGGCACUCUAGAGAGACCGCCGGUGAUAAACCGGAGGAAGGUGUGGAUGACGUCAAGUCAUCAUGCCCCUUACAUCCUGGGCUACACACGUACUACAAUGGUAGUGACAAUGGGUUAAUCCCAAAAAGCUAUCUCAGU